UUUCCAGACUCCUACGGGAGGCAGCAGUGGGGGAUAUUGCACAAUGGGGGAAACCCUGAUGCAGCGACGCCGCGUGGGUGAAGAAGCGCCUCGGCGCGUAAAGCCCUGUCAGCAGGGAAGAAAAUGACGGUACCUGAAGAAGAAGCCCCGGCUAACUACGUGCCAGCAGCCGCGGUAAUACGUAGGGGGCAAGCGUUAUCCGGAUUUACUGGGUGUAAAGGGAGCGUAGACGGCAGUGCAAGUCCGGAGUGAAAGCCCGGGGCUCAACCCUGGGACUGCUCUGGAAACUGUAAAGCUGGAGUGCGGGAGGGGCAGGCGGAAUUCCUGGUGUAGCGGUGAAAUGCGUAGAUAUCAGGAGGAACACCGGCGGCGAAGGCGGCCUGCUGGACCGUAACUGACGUUGAGGCUCGAAAGCGUGGGGAGCAAACAGGAUUAGAUACCCGCGUAAA
RNAcentral lists this ribosomal RNA (449 nucleotides) under uncultured bacterium. Its description in RNAcentral is "bacterial SSU rRNA". It matches the Rfam family "Bacterial small subunit ribosomal RNA", at positions 328 to 794 of the family's 1533-position model. The record is from RNAcentral.